Molecule: unclassified non-coding RNA, 345 nt
Filed under: soil metagenome
Description: partial contains 5.8S ribosomal RNA, internal transcribed spacer 2, and large subunit ribosomal RNA
Rfam family: 5.8S ribosomal RNA (bases 1-120)
Source: RNAcentral
GAUGAAGAACGUAGCGAAAUGCGAUACGUAAUGUGAAUUGCAGAAUUCAGUGAAUCAUCGAGUCUUUGAACGCACAUUGCGCCCCCUGGUAUUCCGGGGGGCAUGCCUGUCCGAGCGUCAUUGCUGCCCUCAAGCACGGCUUGUGUGUUGGGCCUCCGUCCUCCUCCCGGGGGACGGGCCCGAAAGGCAGCGGCGGCACCGCGUCCGGUCCUCGAGCGUAUGGGGCUUCGUCACCCGCUCUUGUAGGCCCGGCCGGCGCUUGCCGACACAUCAAUCUUUUUUCCAGGUUGACCUCGCAUCAGGUAGGGAUACCCGCUGAACUUAAGCAUAUCAAUAAGCGGAGGA